Molecule: ribosomal RNA, 633 nt
Filed under: Cunninghamella polymorpha
Lineage: Eukaryota; Fungi; Mucoromycota; Mucoromycetes; Mucorales; Cunninghamellaceae
Description: LSU rRNA
Rfam family: Eukaryotic large subunit ribosomal RNA
Source: RNAcentral
ACGGCGAGUGAAGAGGGAAAAGCUCAAAGUUGGAACCUGGUAGGCAUAGCUUACCCGGAUUGUAAACUAAAGUUUUCGAGUCGUUUAGUCAGCCAGGUAAAUAAGUCCUCUGGAAAGGGGCGACAUAGAGGGUGAAAUCCCCGUCUUUGGCCUGAGUUUUGAUUAGGCGUUUGGCUUGGAAACGAAGAGUCAGGUUGUUUGGGAAUGCAGCCUAAAAUGGGAGGUAAAUCUCUCCUAAAGCUAAAUAUUGACGAAAGACCGAUAGCGAACAAGUACCGUGAGGGAAAGAUGAAAAGCACUUUGAAAAGAGGGUCAAAAAGUACGUGAAAUUGCUGAAAGGGAACCGUAUGAAAUCAGAUCUACUGGUAGGUAAUCAAUCUUUCCUUUGGGAAGGAUGCACUUGCCUACUAUGUAUGCCAGCGACAUUUUGGUUGGGAGGAAAAAAAUAAAGGAAAUGUAGCUUAGGUUUCGGCUUAGGUGUUAUAGUCCUUUAUAAAAUACUCUCGGCUGGAAUGAGGAACGCAGCAAACCGUAAGGCGAAGAUUUCAGGCGCUUAGAGGGAAUAAUUAGAGAAUUUCUGCUUCGGGUGGUGCUUUGAUUAUUACCUUUAACACGCUUGGAGUUCUUUUAAUU